CAGGAUCAGGCCUUGGCUGAUUGCAAAAUUGUUCACCGUGAAAAUUAAAUAUUGCACUCUCCCCGGCCUGAUCUGA
Molecule: microRNA precursor, 76 nt
Organism: Caenorhabditis elegans
Lineage: Eukaryota; Metazoa; Nematoda; Chromadorea; Rhabditida; Rhabditidae
Rfam family: mir-235 microRNA precursor family
Source: Rfam